CAAUAACACUCUCUUCUCUCUUCCAUUUACCAUCUCUUCUAUUCUAUAGAUUCUUGAUUAUUUGAAGCCAUGGAUAGGAAGAUUGUAUUUUUAGUGUCAUUUUUGUGCAUUGUAGUGGCCAGUGUCACAGGUCAGACACCUGCGGCUGCACCAGCCAAAGCACCAGUUGGUGCUAAGGCUACUACACCACCAGCUGCUGCUCCCACAAAGCCUAAAACUCCUGCCCCUGCUACUGCACCUGCCUCAGCUCCACCCACAGCUGUUUCUACUCCUCCAGCAGCUGCACCAGCCACUGCUCCUACUACCCCUGUUGUUACUCCACCUGUAUCAGCACCACCAGCUAAAACACCAGCUAGUUCUCCACCAGCUGCAGUGCCUGUGAGUUCACCACCACCAGCGGUUACACCGGUGCAAUCUCCACCAGCACCAGCUCCGGUAGCAGCGACACCACCAGCUGCAUCUGCUCCACCUGCUCCUGUUCCAGUUUUAGCACCUGCUGUUUCGGAGACAGUACCAGCUCCUGCUCCUAGCAAGAGCAAGGGCAAGGGAAAGAAGAAGGGGAAGAAACAUGCAUCUUCACCAGCACCUUCUCCUGAUAUGAUGAGCCCACCUGCUCCUCCUACUGAAGCUCCUGGACCUAGCAUGGAUUCCGACUCUCCC
Molecule: long non-coding RNA, 660 nt
Filed under: Nicotiana tabacum (common tobacco)
Lineage: Eukaryota; Viridiplantae; Streptophyta; Magnoliopsida; Solanales; Solanaceae
Description: long non-coding RNA (NTAB_LNC004551)
Source: RNAcentral